AUGUCAAAAUGUCAGCCAUGACCCAGCGUUGAGCGUUCCUGCCAACAAUUGAAAUUUAAAUUUCUAUUAAUGGUCAUCAAAAUGAUUUUAUGUGACUGUGUGACUUUUAUUGUGAAAAACUGAGAAGUCUUCGUUGACCAAACGUUGUUCGUACCAAUUUUCACAUAAAUCCCAUCACAGAGGUACUGAUUAGAUAUUAAAAACUGUAAUGCAGCUUUGAAGUGAAACUUUUGAAGCUUGGUAGAAUUCAAUGAUCUUACAUUUUACCCGAUGAGUGGAGUUUUUUCCUCCAAACGAGUGAAACUGCAAUAAUUUACAUCUUAGCAACUGAAUGGAAUGUUCGAAAUUAACUUUUUGUAAAGCGCAAAAGUUGAAAUUCUAUGUGAUUCCUGAAUGAUGAUAUUUUUUUCGUUGGAUUCGUAUGUUUUCAUGAAUGGCUUUGAACAGUUCGAUGAAGAUGCUAUUUCGGAUGUAAAUGGCUCGUUAAAGAAUAAUUUUUCGCAGGGUUUCUCAAAAUUCUGAAGUAAUACAGUACAAAACACACCUCGUAAGACGGAAAACAUCUUACGAGAUCGUUCCUAUCUCUCGAGGAAGAAGUUUGAUUUUCAAGAAGCCAGAGGGUUCGUCGUUCUGUUGAUCAAACCAGUUAAUGCGAUUAUCGAUCAAUAAAAUGUCGCUAUCGAGGAAUUUCCAAUUGCUUAAACGUUCUUGUUUAAGCAAUUGGAAAUUCCUUGAUAUAGCCUACGAAUUCAAAAAAUCAAAAUCAAUAUAAAGCUUUAUUUAACAAUAAGUUUAGUGUUACAGAAUACGCAAAGAUAUGAAAACAUAACACUCUUGGCCUUAGGAUUUAUCAAUAGCCUCCCCCAGCCUGCACCAUUCUUUCCUAUAUCUUGUGCGAUCCUUUCCUUUGAAAGUGGUGAUUGGUCAGUAGUUUCCUAAAGUCAUCCCUCCAUCUAGCCUUCUGUUUCCAUUGCCUUCUUGCCCCUGUAUUGAACCAGAAAGUGACUCUUCAGAAAGUCCAUCUAUUGUCCCUUACUCUAGGCAACUGACCCCCCCCCCCCCCAAC
Molecule: long non-coding RNA, 1066 nt
Organism: Planococcus citri (citrus mealybug)
Lineage: Eukaryota; Metazoa; Arthropoda; Insecta; Hemiptera; Pseudococcidae
Exons: 4
Source: RefSeq, a predicted model, not a curated record